CCAGACUCCACGGGAGGCAGCAGUGGGGAAUAUUGGACAAUGGGCGAAAGCCUGAUCCAGCCAUGCCGCGUGUGUGAAGAAGGUCUUCGGAUUGUAAAGCACUUUAAGUUGGGAGGAAGGGCAGUAAAUUAAUACUUUGCUGUUUUGACGUUACCGACAGAAUAAGCACCGGCUAACUCUGUGCCAGCAGCCGCGGUAAUACAGAGGGUGCAAGCGUUAAUCGGAAUUACUGGGCGUAAAGCGCGCGUAGGUGGUUUGUUAAGUUGGAUGUGAAAUCCCCGGGCUCAACCUGGGAACUGCAUUCAAAACUGACUGACUAGAGUAUGGUAGAGGGUGGUGGAAUUUCCUGUGUAGCGGUGAAAUGCGUAGAUAUAGGAAGGAACACCAGUGACGAAGGCGACCACCUGGACUAAUACUGACACUGAGGUGCGAAAGCGUGGGGAACAAACAGGAUUAGAUACCCUGGUAGUCCACGCCGUAAACGAUGUCAACUAGCCGUUGGAAGCCUUGAGCUUUUAGUGGCGCAGCUAACGCAUUAAGUUGACCGCCUGGGGAGUACGGCCGCAAGGUUAAAACUCAAAUGAAUUGACGGGGGCCCGCACAAG
Molecule: ribosomal RNA, 605 nt
Filed under: uncultured bacterium
Lineage: Bacteria
Description: bacterial SSU rRNA
Rfam family: Bacterial small subunit ribosomal RNA
Source: RNAcentral